UUGGGCUUAGUUUCUGAAGAAUUAUCCUCUGGGAUUUAAUGUUUUAAAGUAUGCAUUUUUUUUUUCAUUUCUUGUUGUUCAUUUUUAAGCUAGGAAAGCUCCAAUUUAAUUUGUUUUAUUUCCAUUUGUAAUUUAGAAUUUGUAAUUUGUUUGGGUUUUAUAUCUUGUAUAUUGUACAUUUGUGAUUUACUAGGGAUAAUUUCUUUUUCUUUUUCUAGUUUAUCAUUUAACGAGGAUUUUAUUUUUAAAGAUAUUUUCUUUUAAG
Molecule: long non-coding RNA, 265 nt
Filed under: Gossypium raimondii (Peruvian cotton)
Lineage: Eukaryota; Viridiplantae; Streptophyta; Magnoliopsida; Malvales; Malvaceae
Description: long non-coding RNA (GRAI_LNC005688)
Source: RNAcentral